Long non-coding RNA from Chinchilla lanigera (long-tailed chinchilla), 559 nucleotides. RefSeq lists it as uncharacterized. The record is from RefSeq and is a predicted model, not a curated record. Lineage: Eukaryota; Metazoa; Chordata; Mammalia; Rodentia; Chinchillidae. The transcript is spliced from 3 exons.
CUCAGCCUCUCAAUGUGCUGUCAUGGUGUGUGCUGCCAUGCUUGACUUCAACUUUUUGAAAAGACCCACAGGAGAUCCGGCCUUCUGGAAAACUCCAGUGACAAGCUUUCUAGGAAAAGCAGGCCUCUAUGACGUCAAGGCUAUGGAGCCGGGAGUGAGGACCAACCUCCAGGAAGGGCCCACCCAGGGCUGCGGGAGACCUGUGGCACAGUGCUAGAACGUUCUGAAGCCCUCUGGACAAGACGGCAGCCCGCUCUGCUCCUGAAGGCCCCUCCCCAGUACAGCCAGCCUGUGUCUCUCACACACCGUGGGGCGCCCACCCCUUUCCACUUGGCAGUAUGGACAGGACAGCCAUGCGAGGUGAUUUUUUCCAGCAAGGAAUGGAAUCUUCCCUGAACGACAGAGGAAACAGGAUGAGAAAGUGGCUUGAGGUUGAAAGACAAUGGAGCAGAGCUGGCAGCUUCCGCAGCAGGCCUGCCGCUGGGUCUCCGCCCAAGGCAGUGGGCUUGUGUCCCUGGAGAAACGCAAAUCUGAACACUGCUCAGCAGUCACCUGUCAC